ACGAAGGACUAUACAUAUAGCAGGAGUGACCUAGAAAAGGAUGGAGUUAAACUGUUGGGACCCGAAAGAUGGUGAACUAUGCUUGUGGUGUUUAAAGCCGAAGGAAACUUUGGUAGAAGGACUAAGGAGUGUUAACGUGCAAAUUACUUGCAAUAUAUGAGUAUAAGGGCGAAAGACUAAUCGAACUAUCUAGUAGCUGGUUCCACCUGAAUAUUCCCUUAGGAAGGUUGAAGUGAGAAAGUAGUGACGAUUGGUAAAGAUAAUGAUUGGAUGUAAUGGAGAGCUUGACUUUUCAACAUUUUAACAAACUAUGAAUAGUCGAGAUAUUCUAAACGAUAAACAUUUAUUAGGAGUGAGCAUAUGGGACUUCAAAUCGUCCAAGUCUGGUAAGCAAAACUGGCGAUGCGGGAUGAACCGAACAUACAGAUAAAGUAUCCAAGUCUUGCAUGAGGAGAACUAUAAAAGGGUUCAUUCACAUUGAAUCCAGGUUGAUGGCCAUGGAAGUUGGAAAUCGCUAAGGAGUGUGUAACAACUCACUUAUCGAAUGGAUGAGCCCAGAAAAUGGAAAGUAUUUUAAUGAGAGAGAGUGAUACUGUAUCCUUGUUGAAACUGAGGCACAUGAGGAGUAAGGAAAUGCAUGGUGUCAAGAAUACUUGAGUGAUAAAGGUAGAGAAGUAAUUUCUAUUGAAACAGACUUGAGUACAGAUCUUGGU
Molecule: non-coding RNA, 713 nt
Filed under: Entamoeba invadens IP1
Lineage: Eukaryota; Evosea; Mastigamoebida; Endamoebidae
Description: Eukaryotic large subunit ribosomal RNA
Rfam family: Eukaryotic large subunit ribosomal RNA
Source: Rfam by way of RNAcentral